Molecule: small nuclear RNA, 107 nt
Organism: Cricetulus griseus (Chinese hamster)
Lineage: Eukaryota; Metazoa; Chordata; Mammalia; Rodentia; Cricetidae
Source: Ensembl
AAGCUCAUUUUGAUGGCACAUAUCAUACAAUGGGUAUGGUACAGAGAGGAUUAGCAUGUCCUCUGUGCAAGGAUGACACACACAUUCUUGAACAUUCCAUACUUUAA